UAGAAUUAAAUAAAGAAACAUCGUUUGAUAUAUUUAAGUAUUUAUCAAGAACUACUUUGGAUUCAGUUUGUGGAUCAACAAUGGGUGUAAAUAUUAACUCUCAUAAACAUAGUGAAUCUUACUUUGAUGCUAUACACAGACUAAUGAAUCUCAUGAUAGUAAGACCCU
This is a long non-coding RNA of Chrysoperla carnea, 168 nucleotides long. RefSeq lists it as uncharacterized. The record is from RefSeq and is a predicted model, not a curated record. The transcript has 3 exons. NCBI's taxonomy places the organism in Eukaryota, Metazoa, Arthropoda, Insecta, Neuroptera, Chrysopidae.